Saccostrea cuccullata (small rock oyster) is the source of this 418-nucleotide long non-coding RNA. RefSeq lists it as uncharacterized. NCBI's taxonomy places the organism in Eukaryota, Metazoa, Mollusca, Bivalvia, Ostreida, Ostreidae. The record is from RefSeq and is a predicted model, not a curated record. The transcript has 3 exons.
GAACUAAAGAGACAAUAUUUUAAGCAAUAUGUCUGGAAAUUUCCUCUUCUACGCUGUGGUGUUCAUCCUUCUGAAUUUUGUUUGCACUCAAUCCGAGGAUCAGAAACGCUUACUGAUAAAUGAUCCUCAAUAUUUUGAAAAUCGGCUUCAGGAAAUGGAAUCUAAAAUCCAGUCUUUGACAAGGGAAGUGGAAACUUUGAGGGCCAACAAUUCUAAAGCCAUUGGUGGGGCUACUUUCGUUUGAUGGGGAAGAAAGAGUUGUCCCGACGCCGACUCGGAAUUGGUAUACUGGGGCUACACAGGCGGAUCACCGUAUGACCAGACAGGAAGCGCAGCGGAGUAUGUCUGUCUACCACGUGACCCUACUUUUCACAAUAUUCUGUCCUCAGCUGGCAAUUCUAUGUAUGGUUCAGAGUAU